Molecule: ribosomal RNA, 30 nt
Filed under: Ramaria cf. gracilis AGK 017
Lineage: Eukaryota; Fungi; Basidiomycota; Agaricomycetes; Gomphales; Gomphaceae
Description: partial 18S ribosomal RNA
Source: RNAcentral
CCCGGUAAGGUGACCUGCGGAUGACAUUAA